UAUACAGGCAAAGAAAGAAACGAGAGAAAAGAGAUGCGAAAGAAAGCAGAGAGAGAGAGUGUGUUCCGGAGCCGGCGAAUCUCCGGCAACCGGCCCCACGCGUGCUUGCCUCCCACCCACAGAAACAAAGUCGUCGAGUCUACUUUUCCCGGCUAGGGUUCCGAUCAAGUUCUGGCAAUUUCCGGUUACCUCCGGUGAGGUUCCGAGAAGAUUUCGGUGCCGCUCGGAUUGGGUAGUCUUUGUUGUUCGCUAUCACACUUCACCUUCAGACUCUGUCUUGGACGUUUCAUGUAGAUAGCACACUCCACCAUCAAACUACCAUUCAAUAAUGAAGUACAUACGCAGUGAAUCUUUAUUACUAAAAGAUAAGCUAUAAAGUGUCAUGUAGAUAUGUAGAUGUCUGAGACUCUGAAGUGUGUCUAGAGACGCCUCAGCGCAAGGCGAAGCACACAUCGGCUCAGGCAGGUCAGCUGGCGAAGCGUGUUUUGGUGUAUGGCUUUGGAGUGGGGUUUGUUGGUGAAAAUGGUAGUCGAUGGACGCACUGUUGUUGUUAAAGUCGAGAUCGAACCGUGUUUACAUGUUUGCUCUACGUACAAGUAUUGUAUAUAACAGACGUACAGUGGGGUUAUGGAUUCCGUGAAAGCCACACUUGAGAGUGACACAAGAGUAUGUUUUAUGUUAUCUUCCUUUCAACUCAUUGUUAAUUAUACUAUAUAACAUCCGUCUGUUAGUAUUAUUUUUUUCUUAGCUGCUCACUUUCGAAGCUAGAAGAAAACAUAAAACCAAGGGCAAUACAACUUCUGCAGGUGGUGGAAUUGAAUCCAUGAGGUUAGAAUCUGGACUCGGGUUUGUGCCUGAAGGCUUAGAUAUCAGCUCCAACUCCAACUCCAACUCCGGAAGGUCCAACAAGAAGAGAGUUUUCUCAUUGACUAGAAAAGGUGGGUGUGGCCUUCAGCCAGUGGCAGAGGAGUUGCCAGCCAAUCAUGAAUUGGGUUGGACCAACAGUGGCAGAGUUCACUGGUCCCAGUUUCAAGUUGACUCGACUUUCUAAAAAUGAAUUGUCACCGGAAAGUAAUGGUUCAUCAUUCGGUUAAUUACUUUUACAUUAUAUAUUCCACUUAGAACUGAACCAGUCAUUUCUGUUUCUUUACCAUUUGACUGUAAGAUUUAUUUUUUAUUUCUUACAGACGGGUCAAAUGGGUAAAAGUUAUUUCUAGCAGACGGAUAUGUUGAAUUCACCAUCGAGAUGUCCGCGUCUGAGGUUUGAUUAGAGGUAUCUCUAUUCAGACUGUUCAAUAACUAUGAGGAUGAUAUUCUUGAUUGAAUUGCAACAGUGGACUUGAUCGAAACGCAUUGGAGGAUGGGGUUCCACCAACACUGAACAAACUCACAAGUCUUGGCAAGUUGUGGAUAAAAAUUUGUAUUCUUUUACAAACAUAUUUGACUUUGACUUUGACUUUGACUUUGAUUAUUACUUGAGCUUUGAUCUUUUGCUCUUCUUGUCAUGUCAUGAUCAGCAUUAUGAAAUUUGGAUCACUUAAAAGGAGGCUACAAGAAACCUUAUUCAAUCUAUCUGGAAUUCUACAAGUGUAAGAACAAAAAAAACCAUCUGUGGAUUAUCAACUCGAAAUGCCUCUGUGGUGGCAAUGGAAGGUAUACAGAGGAUAGUAUUAGCGACUCGAAGAAAACUAGGUAUCCAGACACAUGAAGCAAAUGGAAAUGAAGAAAACUACUUUUCGAUCUAUGUAUAAGCGGAAGACUGUAUAUAUUAAAACCUAUGUGUUUGUCUUAAACGUCCCGUUGAAACGUAUCAACAUCCCUUUGUAUCAACUUCAUUAGUGUAAAAGGAUCAACUUCAUUAGUGCAAAUAAAAUUUCAAACCGAGAAUGAUUCGGUUUAGCGCGCCGCAACGCGCACGGGGUAUAACACUAGUUAUACCUAACAUAUUAAUUUAUACAUUUCUAAAAAAAAAAGAAAAAAAAAA
Helianthus annuus (common sunflower) is the source of this 1984-nucleotide RNA transcript. RefSeq lists it as uncharacterized. NCBI's taxonomy places the organism in Eukaryota, Viridiplantae, Streptophyta, Magnoliopsida, Asterales, Asteraceae. The transcript is spliced from 6 exons. The record is from RefSeq and is a predicted model, not a curated record.